GGAUGUGAGCGCGAUCUGGCUGUGAUAUCUGUCAGUCCAUUGAUCGCCAGGGUUGAUUUGGCUGAUCUAGCUGGCUAAGUGGGUGUCCCCUUCCUCCCUCACCGCUCCAUGUGCGUCCCUUCUGAAGCUUUGUGCUCAGUGGAAGAGGAUGACCUUCCCCGGUAGAGGAGGACCAUUCUUCACUCAAGUGUACAUGAGUAGCUGUGCUCCCCUCCUAGAACCUCCAAACGAGCUCUCAAGGUCCAUUUGUAGGAGAAUGUAGGGUAGUCAAGCUUCCAAGACUCCAGACACAUCCAAAUGAGGCGCUGCAUGUGGUAGUCUGCCUUCCUUU
RNAcentral lists this small nuclear RNA (331 nucleotides) under Ailuropoda melanoleuca (giant panda). Its description in RNAcentral is "7SK RNA". It matches the Rfam family "7SK RNA". From Rfam's summary of the family: 7SK was discovered as an abundant small nuclear RNA in the mid-70s but a possible function has only recently been suggested. Two independent studies have found that 7SK RNA binds the CDK9/cyclin T complex (known as elongation factor P-TEFb). P-TEFb activates transcription by phosphorylating the C-terminal domain of RNA polymerase II. Lineage: Eukaryota; Metazoa; Chordata; Mammalia; Carnivora; Ursidae. The record is from Rfam by way of RNAcentral.